Molecule: long non-coding RNA, 269 nt
Filed under: Elaeis guineensis (African oil palm)
Lineage: Eukaryota; Viridiplantae; Streptophyta; Magnoliopsida; Arecales; Arecaceae
Description: long non-coding RNA (EGUI_LNC010002)
Source: RNAcentral
GUGUCUCAACCUCAAAAAUCUUGUGACUCCUUACUAGGACUACUUUGACCAAAGUUUUAUUGAAUUGAAACACAAUGAUGCAUCAUCUCUAAUUUUACUUGGAGCGGUCAAUCCUAUCUUGACUUGCACUCAGACUUCACAAGUACUUGACUAUACCCAAAAACCUUCCGUCAUCGAAUUAAAAAUUCGGAUGGUCCGGCACCAAAGCACAGUGAGUUGCUUGCAAGUCAUCGAGACAGCUUCAGAUUCGAGGGACACAUAUACCCAUA